AAAUUUUUUUGAGGCCAGUAGGCAUUGUCUGCGUUAGGAUUUCUGUAUCAUCCUCCUAACGCAGACAAUGCCUACUGGCCUAAGAAAAAUUU
Homo sapiens (human) is the source of this 92-nucleotide microRNA precursor. NCBI's taxonomy places the organism in Eukaryota, Metazoa, Chordata, Mammalia, Primates, Hominidae. The record is from Ensembl.